Molecule: ribosomal RNA, 420 nt
Filed under: uncultured Nitrososphaerota archaeon
Lineage: Archaea; Thermoproteati; Nitrososphaerota
Description: bacterial SSU rRNA
Rfam family: Archaeal small subunit ribosomal RNA
Source: RNAcentral
CAGGGACGGGGGUAAGACCAGCACCUCAAGGGGUCAAGAAAAGUAUUGGGCCUAAAGCAUCCGUAGCUAGUUUUGUAAGUUUUCGGUUAAAUCCAUACGCUUAAAGUAUGGGCUGCCGGGAAUACUGCAUAACUAGGAAGUGGGAGAGGUAGACGGUACUCGGUAGGAAGGGGUAAAAUCCUUUGAUCUGUUGAUGACCACCUGUGGCGAAGGCGGUCUACCAGAACACGUUCGACGGUGAGGGAUGAAAGCUGGGGGAGCAAACCGGACUAGAUACCCGGGUAGUCCCAGCUGUAAACUAUGCAAACUCAGUGAUGCAUUGGCUUGUGGCCAAUGCAGUGCUGCAGGGAAGCCGUUAAGUUUGCCGCCUGGGAAGUACGUACGCAAGUAUGAAACUUAAAGGAAUUGGCGGGGGAGCAC